This 73-nucleotide transfer RNA is filed under the name Thermoleophilaceae bacterium. RNAcentral's name for it is "tRNA-Lys". It matches the Rfam family "tRNA". From Rfam's summary of the family: Transfer RNA (tRNA) molecules are approximately 80 nucleotides in length. The record is from RNAcentral. Lineage: Bacteria; Bacillati; Actinomycetota; Thermoleophilia; Thermoleophilales; Thermoleophilaceae.
GGGCCUCUAACUCAACUGGCUAGAGUUCCGGGCUUUUAACCCGGCGGUGUGGGUUCGAGUCCCACGGGGCCCA